RNAcentral lists this ribosomal RNA (969 nucleotides) under fungal sp. F411. RNAcentral describes it as "eukaryotic LSU rRNA". The stretch from base 402 to 969 matches the Rfam family "Eukaryotic large subunit ribosomal RNA", at positions 1 to 579 of the family's 3401-position model. Lineage: Eukaryota; Fungi. The record is from RNAcentral.
CCCCUCCGGGGGGCGCCCGCCGAAGGCCAGCCAAACACUGUUGCAUCUAGGCCCUCUGAAGAACCGCGUCAGCGGAACAAACAAUCAAAACUUUCAACAAUGGAUCUCUUGGCUCUGGCAUCGAUGAAGAACGCAGCGAAAUGCGAUAAGUAAUGCGAAUUGCAGAAUUCAGCGAGUCAUCGAAUCUUUGAACGCACAUUGCGCCCGCCAGCAUUCUGGCGGGCAUGCCUGUCCGAGCGUCAUUUCCACCCGUCAAGCCCUGCUUGUGUUGGGGCACCGCGGCUGCCGCGGGCCCUGAAAGGAAGUGGCGGGACCGCCGCCGCGCCUAGCGUAGUACUCUUACACCGCUACGGAGCGCGCGCGCGGACCCCGGCCGUUAAACGCCCACCAAGCGUACAGGUUGACCUCGGAUCAGGUAGGAAUACCCGCUGAACUUAAGCAUAUCAAUAAGCGGAGGAAAAGAAACCAACAGGGAUUGCCCCAGUAACGGCGAGUGAAGCGGCAACAGCUCAAAUUUGAAAUCUGGCCCUCGGGUCCGAGUUGUAAUUUGCAGAGGAUGCUUCGGGCGAGGCGCCUUCCGAGUCCCCUGGAACGGGGCGCCGCAGAGGGUGAGAGCCCCGUACGGUCGGACGCCGAGCCCGUGUGAAGCUCCUUCGACGAGUCGAGUAGUUUGGGAAUGCUGCUCAAAAUGGGAGGUAAAUGCCUUCUAAAGCUAAAUACCGGCCAGAGACCGAUAGCGCACAAGUAGAGUGAUCGAAAGAUGAAAAGCACUUUGGAAAGAGGGUUAAACAGCACGUGAAAUUGUUGAAAGGGAAGCGCCUGUGACCAGACUCGGGCGCGGCGGAUCACCCGGCGUUCUCGCCGGUGCACUCCGCCGCGCCUGGGCCAGCAUCGGCUCCCGCGGGGGGAUAAAGGGUCGGGGAAUGUGGCUCCCUUCGGGGAUGUGUUAUAGCCCCGUCMGGCAUGCUC